This 66-nucleotide transfer RNA is filed under the name Scolopsis ciliata. RNAcentral describes it as "tRNA-Cys". The record is from RNAcentral. Lineage: Eukaryota; Metazoa; Chordata; Actinopteri; Spariformes; Nemipteridae.
AAGCCCUGAGGUGUUAGACACGUUCGACUGCAAAUCUUAAGUAGCAGGGUAAAAUCUGCCAGGGCU